CCCGAGCCGGCACAUUCCCUCCGGGUCCCCCCGCCCCAGCCACGAGUGGCAGCGGGGACCCCCACGCCAAGCCCCGGACUACCAGUCCCGGCACGCCCCGGGGGUUUGCUCCCUGCCGGGGAUUGUAGUUCUGCCGCCGGCUGUCCGUCCAUCCGCGGGGCACCGCAAGGCCACGCUGCUCCCGGCCGGAGGGGCUCAGCUCGGGAACGGCUCGAGGUUCCAUGACAGACGAGCCUUAACCCUUUCGGAGCUCCGCGCCCGCUGCACUCCAGCAUUCCUGGAGUCACUUUCAGCGGGGAAGGAUAUCCCUACUGGGACCCCACCAUGCCUAGGGCCAAGCUGCCAUUCAGCACCCCAGCGUUCAUUCCCCAGGAUUUUAUACAAAGUAUUUGAGUGUGAUUCCAAAGCUGAAAGAAAGAGCUAACAGCUACAACAGCAAGGUGACAGCCCUACCCACAGCCUGCUCAAUCAAUACAGAUGGAUACGCCUCACCAAGGGCUGCUGGCUUUGGGAGCUGACGUGCCCCAUUCCCCACACGCUGCAGCAGAACCUGUGGGUCUGCCCUAUAAGUCCCCUCAAGAUGGGGAAUAGCCUGGGGAGCCAGGCAACAUUAAGCUUACCCAGCACAGAGGAGAAGGUGGCAGAAGCCAGCCCUGCUUCAAGAGCUCAGCCUGAAAACCUUGUUCUGGCUUGUUUUCCCACUAGCUUUGGGUGCCUGACUUGUAAUAAGUAAGCCUGAAAAGCAGGCUCCUUUUCAGACAUGCCAGGCACUUGCAGCUCCAGCUCAUAGACGCAUCUCCAGGGAGUCAAGUUCCAGGUGCACCCAAAAAAACUCGUGUUUCAGCCAAUACCCAAAGGCCUCUGUUUCCAUGUCUGAGAAAAGCUGGGCAGUGCCCAGGCCCAGGACUCUGAGGCUCAAGGGGAAAUUGCUUUAUAGCAGCCAGUCUAAUUGCACUGAAAUUAUGAGAUCAAGCAGUAAAUUCACGUCUGUGUUCGUUGCUCUGGGUGGCAAAGCUGCACUGGCAAGUGCCUGAUCUCCAAUUGCUGCAAAUUCACGUUUCAUUGGAAAGGGAAGGAGGGGGUUAAUGAAGGAGAGCAUUGCCAGUUGGAAGUGCUACCUAAAAAGGGUUU
RNAcentral lists this long non-coding RNA (1131 nucleotides) under Chloebia gouldiae (Gouldian finch). RNAcentral describes it as "Erythrura gouldiae (Gouldian finch) lncRNA (ENSEGOG00005006418.1)". The record is from RNAcentral. Lineage: Eukaryota; Metazoa; Chordata; Aves; Passeriformes; Passeridae.